Molecule: ribosomal RNA, 469 nt
Filed under: uncultured bacterium
Lineage: Bacteria
Description: bacterial SSU rRNA
Rfam family: Bacterial small subunit ribosomal RNA
Source: RNAcentral
ACUCCUACGGGAGGCAGCAGUGGGAAUAUUGGACAAUGGGGGGAACCCUGAUCCAGCCAUGCCGCGUGUGUGAAGAAGGCCUUAUGGUUGUAAAGCACUUUAAGCGAGGAGGAGGCUACUAGUAUUAAUACUACUGGAUAGUGGACGUUACUCGCAGAAUAAGCACCGGCUAACUCUGUGCCAGCAGCCGCGGUAAUACGGAGGGUGCAAGCGUUAAUCGGAAUUACUGGGCGUAAAGCGUGCGCAGGCGGUCUGUUAAGCGAGAUGUGAAAGCCCCGGGCUCAACCUGGGAACUGCAUUUCGAACUGGCAGACUAGAGUCUUGUAGAGGGGGGUAGAAUUCCAGGUGUAGCGGUGAAAUGCGUAGAGAUCUGGAGGAAUACCGGUGGCGAAGGCGGCCCCUGGACAAAGACUGACGCUCAGGCACGAAAGCGUGGGGAGCAAACAGGAUUAGAUACCCUGUAGGCUCU